RNAcentral lists this long non-coding RNA (6064 nucleotides) under Mus pahari (shrew mouse). Its description in RNAcentral is "predicted gene 43696 (MGP_PahariEiJ_G0033009.1)". The record is from RNAcentral. Lineage: Eukaryota; Metazoa; Chordata; Mammalia; Rodentia; Muridae.
UUUUUUUUGACAGGGUCUCCCUAUGUAGACCAGGCUGGCCUUGAACAUAAAAGGUAUCUAGAAAAAAAAAUCUGCCUGCUUCUGCCUCAUAAAUGCUGGGUUUAGAGACAUGUGCCACUAUACUUGAGCCCAUUUAGCAAGGAUCCUCCCAUGCACAUAUCUGGGUAUCCCUAGAUACUCUAGAUAACUGACCACACUUUUCCUUCUGUAACAUUCCUCAGGUGAUACCUGACCACUCUGGCCUGCCUUUAUUUAGCAAGAGUCUUUCUAGGUUGUUUUAGCUAGAACCCUCUUAAGUUCUGAAGCCACCUGCUUAUUCUUACCCCCCUUUCUCAUUGGUUAAAAAAAUCCUGUUUGCUGUUGCUUGUAAUUAGAGUUAAGCCCAACUUCUUUCCUCUUUUACAGAAUUUCAUUGCAAAGAUCUCUGUGCCUAGGAAGGAGAUUGUCUUGAAUACACUCUGCCUUACCAUGCUUUAACAAGUAUCAUUGAAUAGCUUUUCCUUUAACAGUUAUGGUGGUGUGGCAUGGAUAGGAUCAGAUUCAUCAUUGGACCCCCGGACCUCUCACCCAGGUCUCCCAAAUAUACACGUUUGAAGCCUUUGUCUUCAUUCCUGACUGAUUGAUCGGGGAUCCAAUGGUUAGUCAGACUGGUGAACCAUUGCUCUGGACAGACAUCCAUUGGAGCUGGUGGUAAGGAGAGAUUUUGAUUCUUGAGAUUCUGAGUGCAGUUUCUAAGAUGCGGCAGAGUGCUACACUUCAUGCUGGCUCUGCUGUGGUCUUCCUGGAUCUCUUUUCUGAGUGGGGUUUUUUCCCUUACUCCCUGGUGUAUUCUUUGUCCUCUGUGGAAUCUUUCUUUUUUUCUUGAUUAGGUUCUGUUUUUCCUCUAGGAGUUUCUUUGCCCUUACUGGAAACUCUGGCAAUAAUUUGUUCUGCUAAUUCUAUCCACUUAACUGUCCACUUCCUAAUUAUUGGAAUUUUAUUGUCCUCUUUUGGGGAACUUAUGGUUUCCCUGUACUGGUUCUUCUUAAGAUCACUCCCUUCCGUCCCUUUGAGUCUUUUGAUAAUGUCUCUGAAAAUCCCUCUUUUGCACUUGUCUAUCCACCUCUGUCAGUCCAUAUUCUAUUUUUGCUGCUCCCCUUUCAGGCUACCUAUUAUUGUCCAUUGGAGAUUCUCGAGACUAAUAAACCUCAAAUAGUAAUUGCGUAAGUCUGAAAAGCACAAGUAUUAUUUUAUCUAUAUUCAGAUGGGCUUUGGAGAUACCUAAAUAGCUCCUAUGUGUCUCUGUAACCUCCCUAGGAUUGAUUAUGUGUCCUGGCAAAAUAAUUUUUAAAAUUUUUUAUUCAGCAUAUAUUGAUUAUACAUAAUAGGUUUCAUUCUGACAUUUUCAUGCAUUCAUGUAAUGUAUGUUGAUUAUAUUUAUUCCCUAUUCCCUUGUCCUCUGCGGAAUCUUUCUUUUUUUCUUGAUUAGGUUGUUUUCCUAAGUAGUCCCACUUCUAUUUUUAUGUCUUUUUUUUUUUGUUUGUUUAUUUUUGUGACCCAAUGAGUUUCUUAGGGCUGUUUACAGAAACAUGGGCACCUUAUCUAUGGCUAUAGCAUUGAAGAAAAUGUCUCUCCAUCUCCAAUAACUCUUAACAGUGUAUAAAUCCUCAGAGGGGGCCCAAGCUGAUAGUCUCCUCUACAAAUAUAUGUGUUUCACCUUAUCCUUUAGAAAGUGCUCUGUGCUGAACCUGCAUAGUAUCAAACCUAUACAUGCUAUAAAAUUACCGUUGCAGAAUAAUAGUAUUCACUUGUCCUUCCAUGUCUUGUGACCUGUUACUGCUUCUUAAUCACUUGUGGGUUGGAACUUUAACAAAUUAAAGAAGUUACUUGAACCCAAGCCACUGUAACACUAUAACACUUGAUCUAAUAAUCAGUAUAGCCUUCAAAUCAUUAAUGGGUGAUGAGGAUAUACUAGACAAAAGGAUGAUUUAUAUCCUGAAUGGAACAGCAUAAGGUUUUUUCUCAUUAAUCAAAAUGGCACACAAUUUGCAACUUAGGAAUUGUUUACUUUGAUAUUAUUGACCUCCCAUGAUUGAAACUGCAGGAAGCAAGCUGUGGAUAAGGGAGAUAUACUAAAUUUGUAAAUAAUUAUCUUUCCCUCUUUGUUUUUCAGCAACAGUUUGGAUUAAAACAACAGGGUUUUUUUGUUUGUUUGUUUGUUUUUUGUUGUUUUUUUUACUUAAAACUGCCUUUGGGAGGCAAAAGAGUUUAAGGCCAACCUGAUCUAUAUUGUGAGUUCCAGGCCAACCAGGGUUAUAGAGAGACCCUAUCUCAAAAACAGUAAAUAGAUAAGUAAGUUUAUGUUAGUGUUUUACUGGUUCAAGAUUGAAAUCUUAGACUGAAAGAUGUAAUUUCUGUUUGCAUGUUUAUAUAGUAGUUUGUAUAUGUUAGGUAUGAAUGUUAAAUAUGUUUGUGCAUUAAAAGGCUGGAAUUGACAUGAGGGGUCUUCUCCUGUUUUUUACCUUAGUUUUGAGCUGGGGUCUUCCACUGAUCUUGGAGUUCUGUUUUAGCUAACCUAGCUGGCCAGCUUGCUCUUGGGUAUCUCCCUCCCCCUGCUUCCCCCAGAGCUAGGGUUACAUAUGCAUAUGGCUGCACCUGUGUUUUACCUGGAUCCUGCAGAUUCAGACUCAGAUCCUCAUGCUGUCACAGUAGCCCUGUGAUAUUUGUCUAGCUCUGAAUUAGUGGUUUUCAACCUUUGGGCUACAACCCUUCUGGCAAACCUGUAGCUCCAAAAAUAUUUACAUUGCUGUUCUUAACAUUAGCAAAAUUACAGCUAUGAGGAAGCAACAAAAAUAAUUUUCUGGCUGGGGUCACCACAUCAUGAAGAACUGUGUUAGUUGUAUUGUUAGGGAGGCUGAGAACCACUACUCUAGAUGGUAUUGCCAAAUUAAUUUAUACUUUUUUUUUUAAAGAAUUCUUUUAAAAUUGUCUUAAGAAAAAAAAAAGAAGGAAGGAAGGAGGGAAAGAAAGAAAGGAAGGAGGGAAAGAAAGAAAAGAGUUAGGUGGUUGAUAACACAUACCUUUAAUCCUAGCACUUGGGAGGCACAGGCAAUGAGUUCAAGGCCAGCCUGGUCUACAGAGUAAGUUAAGUUCCAGGACAGUCAGGGCUACACAGAGAAACCCUGUCUCAAAACAAACAAACAAAAAAAAAAAAACAAAAAAGAAGAAGAAAACAAAUAAGGAUAUGAAUAAGCAUAAAACUCUUAGAAACACAACCCAUGUACUUUUCAAAUUCAUAUUACUUGGGUAAACCAUGUGUGAAUAAGAUUAAUCUAAUGUUGGUUUGUUAAAACCAGCUGUAUUUUCAGAAUUGUCAACAUUGUGAUACAAUUUCACUUUAUCUGGGUUUCUACUCAGCUUGUUACCUUCACUAAUGUUUGGACUAUGAAACUAUAAUUCAACCUGUGACCAGAAUGUGCAUUAAAAUUAGUUACUUCAAGUCAGAGUCAAAAAGAAGAAAAAGAAUAGUAUGCUUUUAAUUUUGUAGGGUUUUCUAUGAUACAUUUUUCUUUUCUGAGAGUUACAGGCAGGCCUUGUAGAUGUUGAGCACAUGCUGUGCCACUGUCAGCCUGUGAGUCUUUUCCUUGAGACAGCGUGCAUAGGUCAGCUUUCCUCCUGCUUUAGCCUCUUGAACGAGGAGUGUAUAGUCAUGUACCGUCAUAUUCAGUUUUUAGUGAUAUCUUUAACUCUUACCUCUCUUAACAGAUAAUGAGAACAGAUUUUCUAUAAGAAUUGUAAUCAUAAUUAAUCACAAGUGAGUCAGGCAGAUGUAAGCAGAGUAAGUUUAUGAAUGAACUUUUUAACCAGUCACUGUUUUUAUGUAAUAUGUCUAUGUAAAACAAUUAAGCCAUAUUACUAAGUGAAAUGGUGAAAUUUAUUCAUUGAAUCUGUAGAUAAUUUUAAAGUAUGAUAAAAUUUGAGGCAUUAAUUGUCAGAUAUCUUCAAACUUAUAUUCUUUAGAUGGCUUAAAUUCUAGAGGAAACAAAAUGUAUUUGAGCCUGUUAGUGAGUAUGUCCUGGGCUGUAGAGAAAAAAAAUGUACUGUAGCCAUAUGCUUACAGAAACUUAAAUGGUACAUUAAAUUUGUUAUUUUUAAGAUGCUGGUAUAUGGCAAUUUACUUUUCAUCUUUUUUUCCUUUAAAAUGUCUUAAGUAUUCUUUAAACUUGUAAAAAAUUUUACUGUUUUAUGUAUAUGGGUGUUUUACAUGCAUGCCUGCUGUCCAAGGAAAAGAUGAUAGAAUGUUGUCCUUGGAACUCAAGAUGGUUGUGAACCAUCAUAUGGGUGCUGGAAACUGAGCCUGGGUCCUCUGCAAGAACAAGUACUAACCUCUGAGCAAUUUCUUCAGCCCUAAGUGGGAAGAUUUUUAUAGGUCAGGCUUGGGUGCAGUGAACACAUAAAGUCUAUUCUGCACACAUUCAGUGGUGGGAAUUCUGGGACAUGAAUACUCCCUAACUACAAAGACAGACUAGGAGAUUAAUCUAGUCAUGUGCUCAGAAGGAAAAAAAUUAUGAAGGGGUCUUGGGGGAGAGGCAAGCCAGCCUGGUGUCAGUGGAAGUUAGAAGAGGCUUAGAUCUCUCAGAAUUGGAGUUUCAGAUGAUUGUGAGCAGCCAUGUGAUUGGUGGACUUGAACCUGGGUCCUCCUAAAGAGCAGCAGUGCUCUUAAGUGCUGAGGCAUCUCUCUAGCUCCACAACAAAAGUUACUGUUAAUGUUGUUAGCUAAUCCUAAAAGCCACAGUGCUGUAUACAAGGAGAGAUGAAUAUAUUUUUGGUGUGAAAGGGUAUAAAGUACAAAGAUAUUUCUUAUUGCAUUUAUCUAUCUUGUGUGUGUGUGUGUGUGUGUGUGUGUGUGUGUGUUUGUGUGUGUGUUUGGAUCAGAGGCCAACUUAUGGGUCAGUUUACGGCAUCAAGCAUGCCAGUGGGCACCUUUACCUACUGGGCAUCUCACGUAGGCCCCGAAGGUACAUUUAUAAAUUUGAGGGGAAAGUAAUUUUGUGUUAGUAUGGAGUUGAUGCAAAAUGAAAAUGGAGAACAAAGAACAAAAACUUUGAAUAGGUAUUAGAAAGUUGGGAAGAGUCUCAUGUAGUCAAGCUGGCAAAUUGAAUCAAUUCUAAGAACUUUGAAAACGAGCAUUAAUGUUAAUUGUUCUCCUUUGUACCAUUAAAAUAUACUGUCUUCCAUUAAAAAGGUUUUCUGAGGUCCACCUGUCAUCUCUUGAUUUGUUUUGUUUGUCCCUGACUUUUCCCUUGUUGUCUCUCUUUCUCUCCCGCCUUCAAGAUUGGAUAGAUUGUAGGAUCUUAUAAAUGCUAAGCAUAUUCUCUGGUACUAAGCCAGCCAUACCUCCAGCUUCUCCCCCCAUCCCCCCACCUCCACAAACUAUAAUUGACUAGACCCUGCUUAAGCUUCUGGUUGUCAGCCCUUACCAAGUCCUGUAGUUUGCUCUUGUACCUCUCUCCAGCUUUCUGAGGUGAUGUUUCCAUUUAUCCCCUAGCAUCCUGAUGUGAUGCAUAAUAAAACAGCCUUUCUCAAAGUUCUGUUAGCUAAACACCUCAUGACAUUUCAUGUAUUCAAGUAUUAAAUGGGAAAAUCUGACAGUUGCCAAGAUUUAUUCUAAAGAUACUUUGAGGCCAGCAUCUAAGAAUUUGUAGCUACACUCCCACCCCCUGGACAAGGUUUCUCAAUGUAGCCCUGGAUAUCGUGGAACUUGAUCUGUAGACCAGGCUGGCCUCAAGCUCGGAGCUCUCCUUGUCUCUACCCCCUGAGUGCUGGGAUUAAAGGUGUGUGCCAUCACUGUCCAAAUGUAGCUAAUCUUUUCUAGACUUAAAAAAGCUGAGUUUAAAUUUUGUUUUAGCCACUAAUCCUUGUUUUCCUUCUUCUUUUCACAGAAAUUACCCUCCCCCAUUAAAUAUCUCAAGUGCUUAUACCACCUAGCAAUAUUUUUCCCUCCCUUCUUCCCUCCCUCCCUCCUUAAAAAAGAAAGAAAGAAAGAAAGAAAGAAAGAAAGAAAGAAAGAAAGAAAGAAAGAAAG